Molecule: ribosomal RNA, 428 nt
Filed under: Chloroflexota bacterium
Lineage: Bacteria; Bacillati; Chloroflexota
Description: Chloroflexi bacterium partial 16S ribosomal RNA
Rfam family: Bacterial small subunit ribosomal RNA
Source: RNAcentral
UGGGGAAUAUUGCACAAUGGGCGCAAGCCUGAUGCAGCCAUGCCGCGUGUAUGAAGAAGGCCUUCGGGUUGUAAAGUACUUUCAGUCGGGAGGAAGGUGGUAAGGUUAAUAACCUUGGCAAUUGACGUUACCGACAGAAGAAGCACCGGCUAACUCCGUGCCAGCAGCCGCGGUAAUACGGAGGGUGCAAGCGUUAAUCGGAAUUACUGGGCGUAAAGCGCACGCAGGCGGUUGAUUGAGUCAGAUGUGAAAUCCCCGGGCUUAACCCGGGAAUUGCAUCUGAUACUGGUCAGCUAGAGUCUUGUAGAGGGGGGUAGAAUUCCAUGUGUAGCGGUGAAAUGCGUAGAGAUGUGGAGGAAUACCGGUGGCGAAGGCGGCCCCCUGGACAAAGACUGACGCUCAGGUGCGAAAGCGUGGGGAGCAAACAG